UGCAGAAUCCCGUGAACCAUCGAGUUUUUGAACGCAAGUUGCGCCCGAAGCCAUUAGGCUGAGGGCACGUCUGCCUGGGCGUCACGC
This 87-nucleotide ribosomal RNA is filed under the name Mitchella repens. Its description in RNAcentral is "partial 5.8S ribosomal RNA". It matches the Rfam family "5.8S ribosomal RNA", at positions 73 to 154 of the family's 154-position model. Rfam says of the family: 5.8S ribosomal RNA (5.8S rRNA) is a component of the large subunit of the eukaryotic ribosome. It is transcribed by RNA polymerase I as part of the 45S precursor that also contains 18S and 28S rRNA. Functionally, it is thought that 5.8S rRNA may be involved in ribosome translocation. Lineage: Eukaryota; Viridiplantae; Streptophyta; Magnoliopsida; Gentianales; Rubiaceae. RNAcentral also lists the same sequence under 1 other name. The record is from RNAcentral.